UUUUUGGAGAGUUUGAUUCUGGCUCAGAACGAACGUUGGCGGCGUGGAUAAGGCAUGCAAGUCGAACGAUCUUAUUGCAUCUCAAAGCCGCAAGGCCGAGAGAUUCGAUUUGAUAGUGGCAAAAGGGUGAGUAACACGUGGAUAAUUUACCUUCGAGCGUGGGAUAACAUUCCGAAAGGGGUGCUAAUACCGCAUAAGACCACGAUCCUGCAUGGGAUUGAGGUCAAAGGUGGGGACCGCAAGGCCUAUCACUUGAAGAUGAGUCCGCGUUCUAUCAGCUUGUUGGUAGGGUAACGGCCUACCAAGGCUACGACGGGUAGCUGGUCUGAGAGGAUGGUCAGCCACACUGGGACUGAUACACUGCCCAGACUCCUACGGGAGGCUGCAGUCGAGAAUCUUUCGCAAUGGGCGCAAGCCUGACGAUGCGACGCCGCGU
Molecule: ribosomal RNA, 436 nt
Filed under: Candidatus Omnitrophota bacterium
Lineage: Bacteria; Pseudomonadati; Candidatus Omnitrophota
Description: bacterial SSU rRNA
Rfam family: Bacterial small subunit ribosomal RNA
Source: RNAcentral